UUACGGCCGUAUCACGUUGAAACACCAGUUCCCGUACGAUCACCGAAUUUAAUCACCGUUGAGCCUGGUCAGAUGACUGACCGCUUGGGAACACCUGGUGCUGUAAG
Non-coding RNA from Acanthosepion pharaonis, 107 nucleotides. The record is from the annotation of a GenBank genome assembly. Lineage: Eukaryota; Metazoa; Mollusca; Cephalopoda; Sepiida; Sepiidae.